RNAcentral lists this long non-coding RNA (836 nucleotides) under Hordeum vulgare. RNAcentral's name for it is "long non-coding RNA (HVUL_LNC020143)". The record is from RNAcentral. Lineage: Eukaryota; Viridiplantae; Streptophyta; Magnoliopsida; Poales; Poaceae.
CCGGGGCAGCCCUACCUCUCCCAUAACUCUGUUUUUUCCUCACAUCGGUUCUGACAGCGCUUCGUGAAGCCCUGCUAGCACUGCUCCACCAUCAUUUCCACCAUGUCAUAGUGCUGGUUGAGAUCCCAUCUACUUCUCCUUCCUCUCUUGUUGGAUCAAUAAGGAGGAGAUGUAAUCGAGUUAUACAUGUGUUGAACGCGAGGGUGUUGUCCGUUCGGCACUAGAUCAGGAUGGAUCUUGAUGGGAUCAAGGGACGGAUCAUGAUGAGAUCACGGGACGGAUCAUGAUUGGAUCGAAAAGAUGUUCGACUACAUAAAAACGUUAUAUACGCUUCUGCUUAGCAAUCUACAAGGGUAUGUAGAUGCACUCCCCCUCUCGUAGAUGUUAGUCUCCAUAGAUUGAUCUUGGUGAGCUUAGGAAAUUUUNNNNNNNNNNCGUUUCCCAUGCGACGUUCCCCAAGAGUGGCAUCAUGAGCUAGGACUAUGCGUAGAUGACAUCAGAGUAGAGCACAAAUAAGUUUGUGGGUGUUGUUAUUCAGGUUGCUUCCUCCUUAGUCUUUUCUUGAUUCAACGGUAUGGUGGGAUGAAGCGGCCCGGACCAACUUUACUCGUCCACGUACGAGAGACCGGUUCCAUCGACUGACUUGCAACUUGUUGCAUAAAGAUGGAUGGCGGAUGUUUGUAUCUCCUACUUUAGUUGAAUCAGAUUCAACAGAGGCAGUCCUUGAAGAAGAUUAAAUAGCAACUUGCAUAUCACCGUUGUGGUUUUUGCGUAGGUAAGAAGCGUUCUUACUAGAUACCCAUGGCAGUCACGUAAAACAUGCAGCAACAAAUUAG